AGCAGCCGCGGUAAUUCCAGCUCCAAUAGCGUAUAUUAAAGUUGUUGCAGUUAAAAAGACUCGUAGUUGAAUUUCGGGGUCGGUAGGUUGGUCAUGCCUCUGGUAUGCACUGGUCUCACUGAUUCCUCCUUCCUGAUGAGCCGUAAUGCCAUUAAUUUGGUGUUGCGAGGAAUCUGGACUGUUACUUUAGAAAAAAUUAGAGUGUUUAAAGCAAGCUGACGCUUGAAUACAUUAGCAUGGAAUAAUGGAAUAGGACGUUCGAUCCUAUUUUGUUGGUUUUCUAGGAUUGACGUAAUGAUUAAUAGGGAUAGUUGGGGGCAUUAGUAUUCAAUUGUCAGAGGUGAAAUUCUUGGAUUUAUUGAAGACUAACUACUGCGAAAGCAUUUGCCAAGGAUGUUUUCUAUUAAUCAAGAACGAAAGUUAGGGGAUCGAAGACGAUCAGAUACCGUCGUUAGUCUUAACCAUAAACUAUGCCGACUAGGGAUCGGAUGAUGUUAAUUUUUAAUUAGACUCAUUCC
Molecule: ribosomal RNA, 518 nt
Filed under: uncultured Glomus
Lineage: Eukaryota; Fungi; Glomeromycota; Glomeromycetes; Glomerales; Glomeraceae
Description: SSU rRNA
Rfam family: Eukaryotic small subunit ribosomal RNA
Source: RNAcentral